RNAcentral lists this non-coding RNA (24 nucleotides) under Arabidopsis thaliana (thale cress). The record is from RNAcentral. Lineage: Eukaryota; Viridiplantae; Streptophyta; Magnoliopsida; Brassicales; Brassicaceae.
AAUUGUGUCUUCUUUACCAAACUC